CCUACGGGCGGCUGCAGUAGGGAAUAUUGGACAAUGGAGGCAACUCUGAUCCAGCCAUCCCGCGUGAAGGAUGAAGGUCCUCUGGAUUGUAAACUUCUUUUCUCUGGGAAUAAAAACUCCGAUUCACUCGGAGCUUGAAGGUACCAGAGGAAUAAGCACCGGCUAACUCCGUGCCAGCAGCCGCGGUAAUACGGAGGGUGCAAGCGUUAUCCGGAUUCACUGGGUUUAAAGGGUGCGUAGGUGGUCUUGUAAGUCAGUGGUGAAAUACCGCAGCU
Molecule: ribosomal RNA, 275 nt
Filed under: uncultured bacterium
Lineage: Bacteria
Description: partial 16S ribosomal RNA
Rfam family: Bacterial small subunit ribosomal RNA
Source: RNAcentral